AGGUUGGUCAUGCCUCUGGUAUGUACUGGUCUCACUGAUUCCUCUUCCUGAUGAACCGUAAUGCCAUUAAUUUGGUGUUGCGGGGAAUUUGGACUGUUACUUUGAAAAAAUUAGAGUGUUUAAAGCAGGCUAACGCUUGAAUACAUUAGCAUGGAAUAAUGAAAUAGGACGUUCGAUCCUAUUUUGUUGGUUUCUAGGAUUGACGUAAUGAUUAAUAGGGAUAUUGGGGGCAUUAGUAUUCAAUUGUCAGAGGUGAAAUUCUUGGAUUUAUUGAAGACUAACUACUGCGAAAGCAUUUGCCAAGGAUGUUUUCAUUAAUCAAGAACGAAAGUUAGGGGAUCGAAGACGAUCAGAUACCGUCGUAGUCUUAACCAUAAACUAUGCCGACCAGGGAUCGGAUGAUGUUAAUUUUUUAAUGACUCAUUCGGCGCCUUACGGGAAAC
RNAcentral lists this ribosomal RNA (443 nucleotides) under uncultured Glomus. RNAcentral describes it as "SSU rRNA". It matches the Rfam family "Eukaryotic small subunit ribosomal RNA", at positions 656 to 1098 of the family's 1831-position model. The record is from RNAcentral. Lineage: Eukaryota; Fungi; Glomeromycota; Glomeromycetes; Glomerales; Glomeraceae.